GACGAACGCUGGCGGCGUGCUUAACACAUGCAAGUCGAACGGAAAGGCCCUGCUUUUGUGGGGUGCUCGAGUGGCGAACGGGUGAGUAACACGUGAGUAACCUGCCCUUGACUUUGGGAUAACUUCAGGAAACUGGGGCUAAUACCGGAUAGGAGCUCCUGCUGCAUGGUGGGGGUUGGAAAGUUUCGGCGGUUGGGGAUGGACUCGCGGCUUAUCAGCUUGUUGGUGGGGUAGUGGCUUACCAAGGCUUUGACGGGUAGCCGGCCUGAGAGGGUGACCGGCCACAUUGGGACUGAGAUACGGCCCACACUCAUACGGGAGGGAGGAGUGGGGAAUAUUGCACAAUGGGCGGAGGCCUGAUGCAGCAACGCCGCGUGCGGGAUGACGGCCUUCGGGUUGUAAACCGCUUUCGCCUGUGACGAAGCGUGAGUGACGGUAAUGGGUAAAGAAGCACCGGCUAAUUACGU
RNAcentral lists this ribosomal RNA (467 nucleotides) under uncultured bacterium. RNAcentral describes it as "partial 16S ribosomal RNA". It matches the Rfam family "Bacterial small subunit ribosomal RNA", at positions 28 to 506 of the family's 1533-position model. The record is from RNAcentral.